This 84-nucleotide transfer RNA is filed under the name Lachnospiraceae bacterium. Its description in RNAcentral is "tRNA-Leu". It matches the Rfam family "tRNA". From Rfam's summary of the family: Transfer RNA (tRNA) molecules are approximately 80 nucleotides in length. Lineage: Bacteria; Bacillati; Bacillota; Clostridia; Lachnospirales; Lachnospiraceae. The record is from RNAcentral.
GCCGGCGUGUCGGAAUUGGCAGACGAGACAGACUCAAAAUCUGUUGUCCAUGAGGGCGUGUGGGUUCGAGUCCCACCGCCGGCA